GAUGAACGCUGGCGGCGUGCCUAAUACAUGCAAGUCGAGCGAACGGACGAGAAGCUUGCUUCUCUGAUGUUAGCGGCGGACGGGUGAGUAACACGUGGAUAACCUACCUAUAAGACUGGGAUAACUUCGGGAAACCGGAGCCAAUACCGGAUAAUAUUUUGAACCGCAUGGUUCAAAAGUGAAAGACGGUCUUGCUGUCACUUAUAGAUGGAUCCGCGCUGCAUUAGCUAGUUGGUAAGGUAACGGCUUACCAAGGCAACGAUGCAUAGCCGACCUGAGAGGAUGAUCAGCCACACUGGAACUGAGACACGGUCCAGACUCCUACGGGAGGCAGCAGUAGGGAAUCUUCCGCAAUGGGCGAAAGCCUGACGGAGCAACGCCGCGUGAGUGAUGAAGGUCUUCGGAUCGUAAAACUCUGUUAUUAGGGAAGAACAUAUGUGUAAGUAACUGUGCACAUCUUGACGGUACCUAAACAGAAAGCCACGGCUAACUACGUG
RNAcentral lists this ribosomal RNA (497 nucleotides) under uncultured bacterium. Its description in RNAcentral is "partial 16S ribosomal RNA". It matches the Rfam family "Bacterial small subunit ribosomal RNA", at positions 28 to 507 of the family's 1533-position model. The record is from RNAcentral.